RNAcentral lists this small RNA (29 nucleotides) under Bombyx mori (domestic silkworm). RNAcentral's name for it is "ovarian small RNA-22170". Lineage: Eukaryota; Metazoa; Arthropoda; Insecta; Lepidoptera; Bombycidae. The record is from RNAcentral.
UAGAUUGAAGUUUGAGUUGACAAUGUCAC